RNAcentral lists this long non-coding RNA (431 nucleotides) under Homo sapiens (human). RNAcentral's name for it is "HSALNT0048987". The record is from RNAcentral. Lineage: Eukaryota; Metazoa; Chordata; Mammalia; Primates; Hominidae.
UCUACAUAUCAUUUCCCACAAAAAGGAACCAGGGCUCUUGAGAAGAGUUAAUACAGAUUCUGCAGUCAAGGAAAAUGCAGGAUGUGUCUAGAAUUUGUCAUAAUAUCAAAGAAACCUGUUGGAGAUUAUUAUAGGCACAUUCAAAGAACCGAGGAGGAGAACAGGCAAAGCUAAGCUAUCGCAAGAGAAAGUAAACUCAUAAUUGCUUGGGGCCCAGAUUUGGAGAAGGAGGCUGCUGAGAAAUGAAGGAACUGAACACUGAACAGUAAAGGACAAGAAUCUUGAGAAGGACAACCUAAGCCUGUCCUUCCCAGCGCCUCCUUUACACUGGGAAGAAACUCCCCUGAAAUUGGAGGUCCCAUGGGUGCUUUUAGGGUUAAAUUAAAAUUUUAAAACUCCAUUCUUGGCCAGAUGUGUUGGCUCACACCUGU